GACGAACGCUGGCGGCGUGCUUAACACAUGCAAGUCGAACGCUGAAGCUCAGCUUUUGUUGGGUGGAUGAGUGGCGAACGGGUGAGUAACACGUGAGUAACCUGCCCCCUUCUUUGGGAUAACGCCCGGAAACGGGUGCUAAUACUGGAUAUUCACUGGUCUUCGCCUGGGGGUUGGUGGAAAGGGUUUUUCUGGUGGGGGUUGGGCUCGCGGCCUAUCAGCUUGUUGGUGGGGUGAUGGCCUAACAAGGCGUUGACGGGUAGCCGGCCUGAGAGGGUGACCUGUCACAGUGGGACGGAGAUGCGGCCCAGACUACUACGGGGGGCAGCAGUGGGGAAUAUUGCAGAAUGGGCGACAGCGUGAUGCAGCGUCGCCGCGGGAGGGAUGGAGGCCGUCGGGUUGUGAACCUCUUUCGCUAAUGGUCAAGCCGCAACAAUGGUUGUGGUGAGGGUAGUGGGUAAAGAAGCGCCGGCUAACUACGUG
This 483-nucleotide ribosomal RNA is filed under the name uncultured bacterium. RNAcentral describes it as "partial 16S ribosomal RNA". It matches the Rfam family "Bacterial small subunit ribosomal RNA", at positions 28 to 507 of the family's 1533-position model. The record is from RNAcentral.